This 404-nucleotide ribosomal RNA is filed under the name Actinomycetes bacterium. Its description in RNAcentral is "Actinobacteria bacterium partial 16S ribosomal RNA". It matches the Rfam family "Bacterial small subunit ribosomal RNA", at positions 355 to 776 of the family's 1533-position model. Lineage: Bacteria; Bacillati; Actinomycetota; Actinomycetes. The record is from RNAcentral.
UGGGGAAUAUUGGACAAUGGGCGCAAGCCUGAUCCAGCCAUGCCGCGUGAGUGAUGAAGGCCCUAGGGUUGUAAAGCUCUUUCACCGGUGAAGAUAAUGACGGUAACCGGAGAAGAAGCCCCGGCUAACUUCGUGCCAGCAGCCGCGGUAAUACGAAGGGGGCUAGCGUUGUUCGGAUUUACUGGGCGUAAAGCGCACGUAGGCGGACUAUUAAGUCAGGGGUGAAAUCCCGGGGCUCAACCCCGGAACUGCCUUUGAUACUGGUAGUCUUGAGUUCGAGAGAGGUGAGUGGAGUUCCGAGUGUAGAGGUGAAAUUCGUAGAUAUUCGGAGGAACACCAGUGGCGAAGGCGGCUCACUGGCUCGAUACUGACGCUGAGGUGCGAAAGCGUGGGGAGCAAACAGG